This is a long non-coding RNA of Cucurbita maxima (winter squash), 1001 nucleotides long. RefSeq lists it as uncharacterized. The record is from RefSeq and is a predicted model, not a curated record. The transcript is spliced from 2 exons. Lineage: Eukaryota; Viridiplantae; Streptophyta; Magnoliopsida; Cucurbitales; Cucurbitaceae.
AAACAACAUACACAAAAAGAUGAAGCUCAAAAGGCGCAAUUCCAUUACAUCUCUGGAAAUCUCCAUCGUUAAACAACCCAGAUGCGCAAAGAGAUGACUACAAUUCAGCUUUAUACUUUCAGGGAUUUGUAUGCUACAAGGAUCAAAAUUGUCAUGUUCAUCUGAUUUUAAGAACCUUGGCACUGCUUGUGGGGCUGUCUGAAAGGUGGGGCGAUUGAGGAGGACAUUUACCAAACUAUUCUGGUUUGAUUUCCUGCCAGAAAGAACAGUUCAUGAACCAAUAUUGGUUCACUACUGGUUUUAGUAUUGGACACUGUUAUGGGCCACAAGAAGUAAGCCUACCUAACCAAUUCUUUAUUCUUAUUAGUGUCAAAUUGGAGGUGAUUAGACCUGAUUAGACUUUUAGUAGACAUAAUAACGUGCUUUUGCCACUGAUUUUGUAGCUGGGAUCAUGAGUUGUGCGAUUUGGAGGUUGAAAUUGCAUCAAACCAAUCAUUUGAUUAAACAAAUUCAAACAUAUAAUUAUUCAACUUUUUUAAAGAAGGGUUCUUUGAUUCUGUCCGUUGAUUGAUUUAGCUUUCAUUUCUUAUUGUAGGUAAGAAGUUGUUUAUAUCUGGGUCGAGACGAACCACCUGAGAUCGUAAAAGAUCGAAAUUGCUAUUUUGGUGUUUCUUCAUUCGCCAGAGAUGCCAUAGCUGGCUUUGAAAAAGAGAGAGUUUGAUGUGAUUUGAAUACAACAUUUGACAUAUAGCCUAUCGCAAGUUGUGCAACAAAACAAGGCUAUGAUAUUCAUUCCCCUAUAUACCUAGAGUGUAGCAAAUUAUUCAUAAUUGUAACUUCUGCUAGUAGGAUCAAAUCUCUUGAAAUUGUUAUUAUCAUGUUGUAGGAAAAAUGUACUGAAGCUCGAAGUCAAUUAAGGUCAACUUGAGUCGUCACAAGGAACACCCAAAGUGUUGGGACGGACCCUGGCUAAAUCAAGUACUUUUAGCUGAUUUCUCAUA